RNAcentral lists this ribosomal RNA (492 nucleotides) under uncultured bacterium. Its description in RNAcentral is "partial 16S ribosomal RNA". It matches the Rfam family "Bacterial small subunit ribosomal RNA", at positions 29 to 507 of the family's 1533-position model. The record is from RNAcentral.
AGUGAACGCUGGCGGUAGGCCUAACACAUGCAAGUCGAACGGCAGCACAGUAAGAGCUUGCUCUUACGGGUGGCGAGUGGCGGACGGGUGAGGAAUACAUCGGAAUCUACUUUUUCGUGGGGGAUAACGUAGGGAAACUUACGCUAAUACCGCAUACGACCUACGGGUGAAAGCAGGGGAUCUUCGGACCUUGCGCGAUUGAAUGAGCCGAUGUCGGAUUAGCUAGUUGGCGGGGUAAAGGCCCACCAAGGCGACGAUCCGUAGCUGGUCUGAGAGGAUGAUCAGCCACGCUGGAACUGAGACACGGUCCAGACUCCUACGGGAGGCAGCAGUGGGGAAUAUUGGACAAUGGGCGCAAGCCAGAUCCAGCCAUACCGCGUGGGUGAAGAAGGCCUUCGGGUUGUAAAGCCCUUUUGUUGGGAAAGAAAAGCAGCAGGUUAAUACCCCGCUGUUCUGACGGUACCCAAAGAAUAGGCACCGGCUAACUUCGUG